UGGGGAAUUUUGGACAAUUGGGCGAAAGCCUGAUCCAGCAAUGCCGCGUGUGUGAAGAGGGCCUUCGGGUUGUAAAGCACUUUUGUCCGGAAAGAAAUCCUUGGCUCUAAUACAGUCGGGGGAUGACGGUACCGGAAGAAUAAGCACCGGCUAACUACGUGCCAGCAGCCGCGGUAAUACGUAGGGUGCAAGCGUUAAUCGGAAUUACUGGGCGUAAAGCGUGCGCAGGCGGUUUGCUAAGACCGAUGUGAAAUCCCCGGGCUCAACCUGGGAACUGCAUUGGUGACUGGCAGGCUAGAGUAUGGCAGAGGGGGGUAGAAUUCCACGUGUAGCAGUGAAAUGCGUAGAGAUGUGGAGGAAUACCGAUGGCGAAGGCAGCCCCCUGGGCCAAUACUGACGCUCAUGCACGAAAGCGUGGGGAGCAAACAGGAUUAGAUACCCUGGUAGUCCACGCCCUAAACGAUGUCAACUAGUUGUUGGGGAUUCAUUUCCUUAGUAACGUAGCUAACGCGUGAAGUUGACCGCCUGGGGAGUACGGUCGCAAGAUUAAAACUCAAAUGAAUUGACGGGGUCAUAGCUGUUU
RNAcentral lists this ribosomal RNA (583 nucleotides) under uncultured bacterium. RNAcentral's name for it is "partial 16S ribosomal RNA". It matches the Rfam family "Bacterial small subunit ribosomal RNA", at positions 355 to 935 of the family's 1533-position model. The record is from RNAcentral.